CUCCUCCGCUCCUCUCCCUUCGUGGCGGGCGUCCGCGUCUCUGGUCUGGAGAGAAGGCUCCGAAAUCCGUCUGCGCGAAAACAGCGUGGCAGCUGUCCCAUGCCAUAGUCCCAUCACUGGAGAGGCUGAGCCAGCAGCUCCCCAGCGUAGGAGUUCAUUGCCACCCUGCGCAGUAUACUGAGACCCCCACCCAUCUCAGGAAACAGGAGAGCAAGAAAAGAAAGGAUCUCACACAACAUUGCGUGAGGAGGAAAACAUUCAUGCCUGGCUUACAGAUGGUUCUGCACAGUAUGCUGGCAUCAACAGAAAGUGGACAGCUGUAGCCCUAGAGCUCCACUCCAGAGUGGCUCUGGACAGUGGUAGAAGAAAUCUCCCUGGUGGGCCAAAUGCUGAGAGGCACAUUUGUUUGUCCGUUUCGUCUGAACUAGAGAUGGCCAGGAGCAGGGAGCUGUAUGGACUCAUAGGCUCUGAUCAAGGGAUGCUGCACAUCAGAAGAGUGGUCAUGGCCUGGCGCCCAUGGAAUUAGCUGCUUUCAUCACACACCGUGUUGCCCAGAAGCACCUCACCUGACGGAAAGUUGAGGCGGCCACUGAUGGUACCUGUUCAGAGUCAGCAUUUGCAGAAUGGGUCUCUUACAGCAGAGGCCAGACUUUGAAUCAAGACUAUUAUAUGGCACUGUUUUGUCCUUAGCCCCCAUAGUAUGUGAGCCUGGGGAUUACCAGCCACCUGGGAGGUUAAAGCAGGAAGAUGAUAAAGUCCACCCCCACUGGGGCAAAUGAGUUUCAGAACUGUAAAAAGUGCUGGAAAUGCAUCUCACC
This 818-nucleotide long non-coding RNA is filed under the name Heterocephalus glaber (naked mole-rat). RNAcentral describes it as "lncRNA (ENSHGLG00000036122.1)". The record is from RNAcentral. Lineage: Eukaryota; Metazoa; Chordata; Mammalia; Rodentia; Bathyergidae.